UACGGGGGGGGCAAGCGUUGUUCGGAAUUACUGGGCGUAAAGGGCUCGUAGGUGGCCAACUAAGUCAGACGUGAAAUCCCUCGGCUUAACCGGGGAACUGCGUCUGAUACUGGAUGGCUUGAGUUCGGGAGAGGGAUGCGGAAUUCCAGGUGUAGCGGUGAAAUGCGUAGAUAUCUGGAGGAACACCGGUGGCGAAGGCGGCAUCCUGGACCGACACUGACGCUGAGGAGCGAAAGUGUGGGGAGCGAACAGG
Molecule: ribosomal RNA, 253 nt
Filed under: uncultured bacterium
Lineage: Bacteria
Description: partial 16S ribosomal RNA
Rfam family: Bacterial small subunit ribosomal RNA
Source: RNAcentral